UUAGUGGCUGACGGGUGAGUAACGCGUGGGGUCUGCCUUUGGAGGGGGAUAACAACUGGAAACGGUCGCUAAUACCCCAUAUGCCUCCUGGUGAAAAGUAUUUCUCCUGAAGAUGAGCUCUCGUCAGAUUUUAUGGUUGGUGGAGUAAGAAUCUUCCCGGGCUUACUUUUGCCUCUGCUGUGAUCAGAUGUCCAUCACCACCGUUGGUGAUACUCCGACCACCAUACUGCAACAGGCACCUCUGGGUAAUUAACUUUUAUGGCCGCAAGCCUGACGGAACAAAACCGCCUGGGGGAUGACGGCCUAUUGGUUGUAAACCCCUUUUUUCUGGGAAGAAGACUGACGGUAACAGAAGAGACAGAAUCCACUAACACCGCGCUCCCACCCGCCGUCAUCCGGAGUAGUGCAAGAGUCAUCCGGUAUUUUUGGUGUUAGGGUUCGUCGUGGUUCUGCGGGUCUGCUGGUUUUCCGUGCGUUUUUACUCUCUAAAGGCAGUUAAAACUGAGUGAGUAGAAUGCCGUAAGAGUCUAGGGAAUACUGCGUGUAGCGGUGAAAUGCCAGAGAUUCGGAAGAACACCGAUGGCCAACGCGCUUCACUGGGCCUG
Molecule: ribosomal RNA, 605 nt
Filed under: uncultured organism
Description: bacterial SSU rRNA
Rfam family: Bacterial small subunit ribosomal RNA
Source: RNAcentral